GACAGAGGUGCCGAGCGUUAGGCGGAAUCACUGGGCUUAAAGCGUGUGUAGGCGGAUUUCUAAGUACCUUGUGAAAUCCCAUGGCUUAACCAUGGAACUGCUGGGUAUACUGGAUAUCUUGAGCCAACUAGGGGCUACCGGAACAAAUGGUGGAGCGGUGAAAUGCGUAGAUAUCGUAAGGAAGACCAGUGGCGAAGGCGGGUCUCUGGACAGUUCCUGACGCUGAGGCACGAAGGCCAGGGGAGCAAACGGG
RNAcentral lists this ribosomal RNA (253 nucleotides) under uncultured bacterium. RNAcentral's name for it is "partial 16S ribosomal RNA". It matches the Rfam family "Bacterial small subunit ribosomal RNA", at positions 524 to 776 of the family's 1533-position model. The record is from RNAcentral.